Molecule: long non-coding RNA, 860 nt
Organism: Pan troglodytes (chimpanzee)
Lineage: Eukaryota; Metazoa; Chordata; Mammalia; Primates; Hominidae
Exons: 2
Source: RefSeq, a predicted model, not a curated record
CUCUGGCGGCGGCCGCGGAGCGGCUCUGGCGGCGGCCGGAGGCCAAGUGUGGCUAAAGGUUACUGCCCCGCGGCUGGGCUGCCUCGGGGCCUGCUCCCGCGUGGCUGGCGGCUUGUACUCCGGUCCUAACACCUGGCCGCCUAAAGGCACCGGCCCAGCCCCUCCUCUCUUUCCCAACUGCACUGCACAAGUGCCGCCUCCUCUCUAGAUCCGAGCGCCUCCAGCCUCCCGGUGCAUCAGAGUCACCUGGGAACUCCUGCACCGGAGGAUUCGUGGGCUCCGAAAUCAGAAUCCUAGAGAUUCAAAAUCAGUGUGUCUGGGAGGAGCCAAGGAAUAUGCUUGCUUAAGAGGUGUUUGUGGCAAUCCUCUGGCAUGGGGACGCAUCUGACACAGCCUUUUGCUUGCUUGUGACAAACAGAGCAUUGCAGAAGUGAUGCUGCGUGACCUCCAGGAUAAAGCUAUAAAAGGCAAUGCAGCUUGCACAUUGUUUGCUAGAACCCUCACUCUUGAAGCUUUCAGCCACCACUUAAUAAGCAGUAAGCUCAGCUUCCCUGAGGAUGCCACACUGUGAGGAAGCCGAAAGUAGCCCACAUGAAGAGACCAUGUGGAGAGGCCCUGAGAGAGAGAGAGAGAGAGAGAGAGAGAGAGAGAGAGAGAGAGACUGAUCAGCCCUCAUGAACUCCAAUUCCUUGGGAUUCUACUUCCAGCCAUCAUUGGACUAAGACCACACGAGAGACCCUAAGCCUAACUCAUCCUGAAUUCCUGAUCCACUGAGACCCUGAGAGACGAAAUAUUGUGGUUUUAAGUCACUAAGUUUUGGGCUGAUUUGUUACCGAGCAAUAAAUAGCUGGCACAAGUAC